UACGGAAGGCAGCAGUGGGGAAUAUUGCACAAUGGGCGCAAGCCUGAUGCAGCCAUGCCGCGUGUAUGAAGAAGGCCUUCGGGUUGUAAAGUACUUUCAGUCGUGAGGAAGGUGUUAAGGUUAAUAACCUUAGCAAUUGACGUUAGCGACAGAAGAAGCACCGGCUAACUCCGUGCCAGCAGCCGCGGUAAUACGGAGGGUGCGAGCGUUAAUCGGAAUUACUGGGCGUAAAGGGCACGCAGGCGGUUAAUUAAGUUGGAUGUGAAAUCCCCGGGCUUAACCUGGGAAUGGCAUUCAAGACUGGUUAGCUAGAGUCUUGUAGAGGGGGUAGAAUUCCAUGUGUAGCGGUGAAAUGCGUAGAGAUGUGGAGGAAUACCGGUGGCGAAGGCGGCCCCUGGACAAGACUGACGCUCAUGUGCGAAAGCGUGGGGAGCGAAACAGGAUUAGAUACC
This 452-nucleotide ribosomal RNA is filed under the name uncultured bacterium. RNAcentral describes it as "bacterial SSU rRNA". It matches the Rfam family "Bacterial small subunit ribosomal RNA", at positions 340 to 786 of the family's 1533-position model. The record is from RNAcentral.